AUUCAUCUUCAGGGGCAGGGUGCAAUUCCCGACCGGUGGUAACAGUCCACGAGCGUAAGCUGAGCUGGUGUAAUUCCAGUACCGACAGUACAGUCUGGCAUAAAGAAGAUGGGG
This 114-nucleotide non-coding RNA is filed under the name Dolosigranulum pigrum. RNAcentral's name for it is "FMN sequence". It matches the Rfam family "FMN riboswitch aptamer (RFN element)". Rfam says of the family: The RFN element is a highly conserved domain that is found frequently in the 5'-untranslated regions of prokaryotic mRNAs that encode for flavin mononucleotide (FMN) biosynthesis and transport proteins. This element is a metabolite-dependent riboswitch that directly binds FMN in the absence of proteins. RNAcentral also lists the same sequence under 1 other name. The record is from RNAcentral. Lineage: Bacteria; Bacillati; Bacillota; Bacilli; Lactobacillales; Carnobacteriaceae.